UGUACAAACACAGAGAAAAAGGAACUUACUUAGGGUAUGUCUACACUUAUAGAGUUUUUGCACUCUGAGUUUCAUCGGUGAUAGGGAACUGGUGAAAGUAAAGCGCUGUUUUGUGUUCUCACUCAAUUCCUCAGGCAUCAGAGAGUAUUUACACUACCAGCAUUUCCAUCACUGAUGAGAGCAGCGCUGUAGGGCAGCUAUCCCACGGUGCAGCUCUCUCACUAGGUC
This is a long non-coding RNA of Dermochelys coriacea (leatherback sea turtle), 228 nucleotides long. RefSeq lists it as uncharacterized. The record is from RefSeq and is a predicted model, not a curated record. The transcript is spliced from 4 exons. NCBI's taxonomy places the organism in Eukaryota, Metazoa, Chordata, Testudines, Dermochelyidae.